UGUGCUUUGAAGUUUCCUCCAUUAGAUU
This 28-nucleotide non-coding RNA is filed under the name Mus musculus (house mouse). Lineage: Eukaryota; Metazoa; Chordata; Mammalia; Rodentia; Muridae. The record is from RNAcentral.